RNAcentral lists this ribosomal RNA (429 nucleotides) under uncultured bacterium. RNAcentral's name for it is "partial 16S ribosomal RNA". It matches the Rfam family "Bacterial small subunit ribosomal RNA", at positions 32 to 507 of the family's 1533-position model. The record is from RNAcentral.
AACGCUGGCGGCAUGCCUAACACAUGCAAGUCGAACGAGACCUUCGGGUCUAGUGGCGCACGGGUGCGUAACGCGUGGGAACCUGCCCUUAGGUUCGGAAUAACUCCCCGAAAGGGGUGGUAAUACCGGAUAAUGUCUUCGGACCAAAGAUUUAUCGCCUUUGGAUGGGCCCGCGUUGGAUUAGCUAGUUGGUAGGGUAAAAGCCUACCAAGGCGACGAUCCAUAGCUGGUCUGAGAGGAUGAUCAGCCACACUGGGACUGAGACACGGCCCAGACUCCUACGGGAGGCAGCAGUGGGGAAUAUUGGACAAUGGGCGAAAGCCUGAUCCAGCAAUGCCGCGUGAGUGAUGAAGGCCUUAGGGUUGUAAAGCUCUUUUACCCGGGAUGAUAAUGACAGUACCGGGAGAAUAAGCUCCGGCUAACUCCGUG